This 502-nucleotide ribosomal RNA is filed under the name uncultured bacterium. RNAcentral describes it as "partial 16S ribosomal RNA". It matches the Rfam family "Bacterial small subunit ribosomal RNA", at positions 29 to 523 of the family's 1533-position model. The record is from RNAcentral.
AUUGAACGCUAGCGGCAUGCCUUACACAUGCAAGUCGAACGGCAGCGGGGGAGCUUGCUCCCGCCGGCGAGUGGCGAACGGGUGAGUAAUACAUCGGAACGUACCCAGUAGCGGGGGAUAGCCCGGCGAAAGCCGGAUUAAUACCGCAUACGCCCUACGGGGGAAAGGGGGGGAUCGCAAGACCUCUCACUAUUGGAGCGGCCGAUGGCUGAUUAGCUAGUUGGUGGGGUAAAGGCCUACCAAGGCGACGAUCAGUAGCUGGUCUGAGAGGACGACCAGCCACACUGGGACUGGGACACGGCCCAGACUCCUACGGGAGGCAGCAGUGGGGAAUUUUGGACAAUGGGCGAAAGCCUGAUCCAGCAAUGCCGCGUGUGCGAAGAAGGCCUUCGGGUUGUAAAGCACUUUUGUCGGGGAAGAAAUCGUUUGGGUUAAUACCCCGAGCAGUUGACGGUACCUGAAGAAUAAGCACCGGCUAACUACGUGCCAGCAGCCGCAGUAA